GCUGGGAGGGGACUUACUGCCUCAUUGCCACUGGCAGGGGGAGGGUGGCAGGACCUGGGUCCUUGCCUCUAAGGAUUAGCUCUUCACUGAAUUUUUAGUAAGGCACUUCUUCAGACACUGUACCUGGGGGCACCGAGAAGAAUAUUCUCGUGGUGUAGAGCAGACCAGGUCUCUAUUUUCAGUGCAAAUCCACACUGCUUACCAAAAGAAUGGGGAGUGCUUACAGUUUAGAGGCACAUGUGGAACCACAGGUAUGGCAAAUAGAAAAAGGAAAGACCAGAAACUUUUGAGAAGGAAAGAAGAUACGCAUAGAACAGCUCCAAACAAGAGAAUUCCCAUCAGCAGGCAUGAAAGUCACACCCGGAUUUUCUCAUGGCUGAGACAAAAAUGAGAAAACGGACAGGUAACCAUUAAGUAAUUCCUUCUAUUUUACGUAGGGGGGUGGGGAUCGUGUCUACCCUUUGUUUACACUGUGCAUAAAGGCCAGUGGUGUCCAGCUGGAAAGUGGUAGAACGUAUAGUCAUGUACUUCACAUGGAUUGUUCCCCAGGGUCUACCGAUUGCCUCCUUAGUUCAGGGAAAGGCAAUAAAAAUCUACAGGACAAGCUCAGAUUCUUCCAUCCCGUUUAGGAUUCUUCCUCGCUUGUUCUUCCCUGACCUAGAAACUGAUCGUCUCUUCAGAGCUCCUCUCUAAAGCCACGCCCAAGCCAAAGCUGGGGACUUGGGGUACCAGCCGAAGACCAGGCUUUCACAUUCGUCAAAUCCCCUUCCUGCCUGGGACCAGCCUGCCUCCCUUCUCUGUGGCUGUCAGAGAUCGACCAGCACCAGGGGUCCGUCAGACCACAUGUCAUGGAGACAGCCUCUGACCUGGAAGGUUAUUUGCUCAUGAUUGUGUAACUGAUCUGUGGUUUGGAGCCUGCCGGGAAUCGGGGCUUUUUUGUUUGUUUGUUUUUUUGUUUUUCCUUUUUCUCAUUAACCAGGAAGGAUUGAAUGUCACUGUGGGGCCUGACCUGGAGAUGUUGGGAAGUGGAUUUUGCAAAGCGAUGCUGUCCUGUGACCCUGAGUGGCUGGUGAAGUGCUGGAAAGGUAGGAAGAGCUCCGGGCAAGGAGUUUGGGAAGGAGGGCUCCCCACCCCGGUAGCAGCCUGUGUGGGGGAGGAGACAGUGUCCCCAACUGUGGAACAGUGCUUUAUCCAGCCAAACACAGGGGUCGUGCUCUAAAGAAGUGGGAUGCAAGUAGCCAUUUAUUUGCUAAACCAAUGCCUUGGGCUAGGCUGGCCAGCGCCAACCCAAGGUCCAGCGUGCCCUGUCCUGCAAGACAGAGUGUUCGUGCCACUUCGUGCAGCUUUUCAGGGUAGUGACCAGCGGAACUGCCUGGAAUGCUUGACAAAAUCAUGGGAUCUCAGCUCCACUCUGGAUCCGGUGAAUCAAAGUUCCAGACAUCUGUCAUUUUCUCAAGAUCCCUAGGUGAUCUGCAUGAAACUCACUGGCCCAAGAAGUAUCACUACAGCGCUUUCUGCCUGUACCUCAACUUUGCACGGAGGCCUGGAGCCAGGAAGCCAGGGAUUCUCCAUUCCUUGCAGGCCCUUCAUGAAGUGACAGAUGUCCUGCUUAAUUGCAUAUUGUCAGAGUCCAAAUAAUCUCCUUCAGUGAUCGAUGCCCCACUAGUGAAAAGCAACUUCUGACCCCAAUCCUUCCCUAUGCAUUUCCAGGGUCUCACUUUCCAGGGUGUGACUUUAGGGCGUGGGUCUGGGCCUGGAACAUCUCUAGGGAGCUCAGAGAAGGCGAGGCACUGGGCAGGUGAGACUCUGAAUGGGGAAUUGUGUGCACAUGGAUUUGGGGGUAUUCAUACAUAUUUUUGUGCCUGUGCGAGUGUGUGAAUAUCAAAUAGAAGCCAACAGACCCAGUCCUUGAAAGACCCAGCAUCCAGCUGUUAGGGGGCUCCCCCCAGCCUGCGUCCAGGCCUCUCUCUGCAUACCCCUCACUGAGGAGCAUUGGCUCUGGGGGUUCCUAGGGCUCUGGUUGAGGCAUGUGGGUGCUUGGUCCCGGACAAAAACGGUCCACGAGUGGCCCUGAGCUAUGUGCUGGGACCCUUAGGACUCAGCAGAGAUUGUCUACAUGCUAAUAUGAUCCUCCUCCCCUGCCAGGUCUUGGAUCAUUUGUCACCACUAUCUCUCCACCUAAGUCCUUAUCUGACCACUGAAUCUAAGAUUGCCUCAACCCCCGUCACCAUUACAAUGCUCCCUUUUAUUUUCUUGUUAGCAAUCAUAGUCACUGAACUCACCUCAGCCAUGUACUUGUUCAAGUUAUAUCUGUGCAACAAAGCCAUUAGGAAGACUCUGGAUCCAGAUGGCCUGUAUUCAAACCCUGGCUCUACCACUCUGUGGCCGUGUGACCCUGGGCAAGUCACAUACAUGCUGUGCCUUUAAGUCCUCUUCUUGGUGAAACCGGGAUAAUAAUAGUAUCCAGCUCACAGGGUUGCUGUGAGGGAUAAAUGACCUGAUACAAGUAAGGCACUUUAGGGAGACCCUGGCCUGCAGUCAGCACCACGCAAACAUUUCUUCUUGCCGCCACUGUGACUGUCGCAAUACCGUAUCAUCCACCCCUGCAGUCCCAGGGCCUGCGGAAGGGCUGGAAACCGCGUACACAUUCAGUGGCUGUUGAAUGAACAAACGAAUGAACAAAUGAAUGACUGAAUCUCAGUCCUCCCUGCAAAUGUGUGGCCAGACUCCCUUCUCUGGAACUUGACUCAGCUCCAAGUUGAACCCAAGAGAGAAGCGGCCAGACUUAUUUUGGAACGUGGAUGUGGGCACGGCCUCCCUUGCCCAGUUUAGCGGCUUUGUGCUCCCCGGGCUGUGGCAUCACGCUGCCCUCUGCUGGCUGUCCCCAAGACGGGGCUAGCAAACCCGGAGAAAUGGAGAAAUCGUGUACUAAGUUCUGGGAGCGGGGGCCUCAUGAGCCUUUUGUCUGCAACUUCAGGACGCUCCUCCUUUCCUUCCCUCCCCUUUUGCCCUGGUUGCUACCCCCAUCUUGAAUGCCUUUCCUAAAUGCCGCUAACCCUUUAGGGCCAGAUCCAGAUGGAUCCAGAGGGCCAUACUCCCUCUGGGUAACCACAGGUGUCGGCAAGCCCUUAGUACUAGUGUAAUUCUCUAAUCCUUGUCUGUGUAUCUCAUUUCCAAACCUAACUGUGAGUUCUUCGAGGCAGGACCCGCGAGCCACCCCCACCCUCCUCCUUGUCUGCGUCUCAGAUCUCGGAGUCCAGGGCAAUUUCAGAAUCCCAUCAAGGACGAGACUGUACUGCUAGCCCUUUGGAGGCUGGGUUUGUGGACUUCUCACGGGGCUCCCUGUGGACUUUCUGGGUAUCUCUCUCCAGUCCAAUGAGAAUCAAGCAAAUGACAUAUUGGACAAAGGGCUAGUAUCCAAAAUCUAUAAAGAACUCACCAAACUCCACACCCGAAAAACAAACAAUCCAGUGAAGAAAUGGGCAGGGGAUGUGAAUAGACACUUCUAUUCAUGAAUAGACACUUCAUUCAAAGAAGACAUCCAGAUGGCCAACAGGCACAUGAAAAGAUGCUCAACGUCACUCCUCAUCAGGGAAAUACAAAUCAAAACCACCUCACGCCAGUCAGAGUGGCUAAAAUGAACAAAUCAGGAGACUAUAGAUGCUGGCAAGGAUGUGGAGAAACGGGAACCCUCUUGCACUGUUGGUGGGAAUGCAAACUGGUGCAGCCGCUCUGGAAAACUGUGGAGGUUCCUCAAAAAAUUAAAAAUAGAUCUAUCCUAUGACCCAGCAAUAGCACCGCUAGAAAUUUACCCAAGGGAUACAGGAGUGCUGAUGCAUAGGGGCACUUGUACCCCAAUGUUUAUAGCAGCACUUUCAACAAUAACCAAAUUAUGGAAAGAGCCUAAAUGUCCAUCAACUGACAAAUGGAUAAAGAAGAUGUGGUUUACAUAUAUAAAGGAAUACUACUUGGCAAUGAGAAAGAAUGAAAUAUGGCCUUUUGUAGCCACGUGGAUGGAACUGGAGAGUGUUAUGCUAAGUGAAAUAAGUCAGAGAGAGAAAGACAGAUACCAUAUGUUUUCACUCAUCUGUGGAUCCUGAGAAACUUCACAGAAGACCAUGGGGGAGGGGAAGGGGGGGGAAAAGUUACAGAGAGGGAGGGAGGCAAACCACAAGAGACUCUUAAAAACUGAGAACAAACUGAGGGUUGAUGGGGGGUGGGGGAGAGGGGCAAGUGGGUGAUGGGCAUUGAGGAGGGCACCUGUUGGGAUGAGCACUGGGAGUUGUAUGGAAACCAAUGUGACAAUAAAUUUCAUAUUAAAAAAUAAAAAACAAAAUAAACAAAAUAUUCCUUUCAUAAAAAAACAAAAGAAUCAAGCCCUGGGCUCUUUAUUGCCCCCCCCAUCCACUAUCAGCAGGGAGGUUUACUUGUGAUUUUGGUGGUGACCCCACAAAAUCAGGCUGAGGACCUGUAAGUCAGGAGGCUUGAGAAACUGCCUGGGGGGCCCCUUGGGCACCAGCAGAGCACCCCAGCACACAGCAAUGGGGGACCUCCUGCAGGUUUCAAACAGAGAAGACAGUGCCAUCCUGCUGCCUGUCAAUCUGUAUGGUAAUGCUGUUGUCCCAAAGCUGGAAGCCCAGCUGAUGGAGGCACCAGGAUCCUUGCAGAGGUCCCAGGAGGGGCCCUCGCUUGGCUCGCUGAUGGGGCUCAGGGGCAGACUUCUUGUGGGGCUCCCUCAGGGCCUGCAGAGCGCUGUUCUCUUAAGGCAAGAAUGGCAACCAUUAGCACGCAGGCUGCCCCUCUCCUCCCCCAUGUUGGUGGCAGACAAAACUAAUCGACUGCCUCCUCCUCGGCCUGGAUGAGACCCUGAAAGCCGUUUAGCCCUGCGGUUGUUACCAAGGGAUCUGAGACGGUGUGCGGAAAACGUCCACCCCUGCCUCGUGCUCCUGACACGUCCAGCUUCCUGCUCACAAUGUUUAUACUUUCCCAACAGCCUGGGAAUCACUUGAUGAGCUCCUCAAAAGUCUUGGGAUCGCGUCUUUGGAAAACUCACAUCUCUCUGGAUACCUGGUUUCUCUGCUCUUGUGUCGAAGGCAGAGGCAACUUGAAAAGUCCAGCACACCAUUCACCUUGGGUUGAGGACAUCCAGAAGGAGUUUUGAACUGAUAUCAAGCAAGAGUUUCUAAUCUCCGUGUGGCAAUUUGUGUGACACACAUUUCCCCACACUUGGGCACUCGAGAGACUGGGAAGAAGAGGAAGCUGGUGUGUAAAGGAGGACGAAGCAAGGAUGCAGAGAGAGGUAGAAGCCAAGGAGACAGCUCGAUGUUGCCUGCACUCCCCCCGCCCCCCUCCCCCAUCCUCCCUGGGCCAAUUCAGAGCUCUCUGUUCUUAGAAAAAAUACUUCUGGGGCGCCUGGGUGGCUCAGUCGGUUCAGCAUCCGACUUCGGCUCAGGUCAUGAUCUCAUGGUGUGUGGGUUCGAGCCCCACACCGGGCUCACUGCUGUCAGUGCAGAGCCUGCCUCAGAUCCUCUGUCCCCCUCCCCCGCUUGCACUCUCCCCCCAAAUAAAAUAAGCAUUUUUCAAAAAAAUAAACAAGAAAAAAAUGCUCCUC
This is a long non-coding RNA of Acinonyx jubatus (cheetah), 5611 nucleotides long. RefSeq lists it as uncharacterized. NCBI's taxonomy places the organism in Eukaryota, Metazoa, Chordata, Mammalia, Carnivora, Felidae. The transcript is spliced from 5 exons. The record is from RefSeq and is a predicted model, not a curated record.